CGGUGGAGCAUGUGGUUUAAUUCGACGCAACGCGAAGAACCUUACCAGGGCUUGACAUCCCCUGACCGCGUAUGAAAGUACGUUUUCACCCUCGGGUGACAGGGAGACAGGUGGUGCAUGGUUGUCGUCAGCUCGUGUCGUGAGAUGUUGGGUUAAGUCCCGCAACGAGCGCAACCCCUACGUUUAGUUGCUAACGCGUGAAGGCGAGCACUCUAGACGAACUGCCGGUGUUAAACCGGAGGAAGGUGGGGAUGACGUCAAGUCCUCAUGGCCUUUAUGCCCAGGGCUUCACACGUGCUACAAUGGCAACUACAGAGCGACGCGAGACCGCGAGGUGGAGCAAAUCGCAAAAAAGUUGCCCCAGUUCAGAUUGCAGGCUGGCAACUCGCCUGCAUGAAGGUGGAAUCGCUAGUAAUCGCGUGUCAGCUAUAACGCGGUGAAUGUGUUCCUGAGCCUU
Molecule: ribosomal RNA, 457 nt
Filed under: uncultured Bacillus sp.
Lineage: Bacteria; Bacillati; Bacillota; Bacilli; Caryophanales; Bacillaceae
Description: bacterial SSU rRNA
Rfam family: Bacterial small subunit ribosomal RNA
Source: RNAcentral